GACGAACGCUGGCGGCGUGCUUAACACAUGCAAGUCGAACGGAAAGGCCCUGCUUGCAGGGUGCUCGAGUGGCGAACGGGUGAGUAACACGUGGGUGAUCUGCCCCUUACUUUGGGAUAAGCCUGGGAAACUGGGUCUAGUACUGGAUAGGACCAUGCUGGAGGUGGUGUGGUGGAAAGAUUAGUUUCGGUAAGGGAUGAGCUCGCGGCCUAUCAGCUUGUUGGUGGGGUAAUGGCCUACCAAGGCGUCGACGGGUAGCCGGCCUGAGAGGGUGGACGGCCACAUUGGGACUGAGAUACGGCCCAGACUCCUACGGGAGGCAGCAGUGGGGAAUAUUGCACAAUGGGCGCAAGCCUGAUGCAGCGACGCCGCGUGGGGGAUGACGGCCUUCGGGUUGUAAACUCCUUUCAGCCAUGACGAAGCCCUUGUGGUGACGGUAGUGGUAGAAGAAGCACCGGCUAACUACGUG
This 469-nucleotide ribosomal RNA is filed under the name uncultured bacterium. Its description in RNAcentral is "partial 16S ribosomal RNA". It matches the Rfam family "Bacterial small subunit ribosomal RNA", at positions 28 to 507 of the family's 1533-position model. The record is from RNAcentral.